This 433-nucleotide unclassified non-coding RNA is filed under the name soil metagenome. RNAcentral describes it as "partial contains 5.8S ribosomal RNA, internal transcribed spacer 2, and large subunit ribosomal RNA". The stretch from base 1 to 120 matches the Rfam family "5.8S ribosomal RNA", at positions 35 to 154 of the family's 154-position model. The record is from RNAcentral.
GAUGAAGAACGCAGCGAAAUGCGAUACGUAAUGUGAAUUGCAGAAUUCAGUGAAUCAUCGAAUCUUUGAACGCAUAUUGCGCUCUCUGGUAUUCCGGAGAGCAUGCUUGUUUGAGUAUCAGUAAACACCCCAACUUCCAUAUCUUUUUUGAAAUGGGAGUUGGACUUGAGUGAUCCCAACGCUUUUCCUCACCGAAAAGUGGCGGGUUACUUGAAAUGCAGGUGCAGCUGGACUUUUCUCUGAGCUAUAAGCAUAUCUAUUUAGUCUGCCUAAAAAACAGAUUAUUACCUUUGCUGCAGCUAACAUAAAGGAGAUUAGUUCUUGUGCUGACUGAUGCAGGAUUCACAAAGACAGGCUUCGGCCGACUUUGUAAACUCGAUCUCAAAUCAAGUAAGACUACCCGCUGAACUUAAGCAUAUCAAUAAGCGGAGGA